UUUUCCAAGAUGGCCUUUUUAAUCUGUGAUUCUGUAAUACAUGUAUUUUUCUACUGAUGUUGUUUAGAUAUAAGUAAUAUAUCAGUAAGUCUAUAAUGUAUCUCUAGCAAAGAGGGAAACAAAUGUGUGAUAUCGCGAUUUUUUCUUUUCUGUUUCAGUACAAUUUUUAAGUUAAAUAUACAUAUCUCUGCAAUAAACCAUAUUCCAAAAUCCAACACAUUACUCGUGUGUGUGUUCUUCCACGACACUUUAUAUCUUUGUAUUCAGUUCUUAAUGCUUUUGAAUUGCGCCUGACAUGGCUAACUCUAUGGUGGAGUGAAAAUGGAAAUUCUAUGCGCAAAGUAUUUAUAAUACUGUUGUUGGUAUACUUGUAACGGAUAUAAUCUUAUCCGUUCAUUUAGUUCUAGUGAGUACAAAGGGCUCAAUGUAGGCAUCUUUAGGUGGGUAACACUCUGUAUGCCAUCUGUAUGCCAUGUGUUGUCAUUUUAAAAAUCGAUUGUUUAUCUUGGCAAUAUUUAGGAUCAGUUAGAAUAUUUGUCACGUGUGUAUAAAAACUAAGUACCCAAGUUAAAUCUUAGAUCAACUCUGGAAGCCACAUUUAUGAUUCAGUAUUGAUGAAAAAUGUUUAGAAUUUGUAUCCUGACAAUAUCUAAGCAAGAUACGAAUAUGGGUAACGUUCAUCCAAAUAUCUGUGACUGUGAGUCUAGGUCGUGUUUCAUCUAGAGUUAUGAAUCACAGUUUCUUUCUUCCUCUCUUUAAAACAGUGAAAAAGUGUUCAUUAUUGUCCUGAGACUGUUUUCUGUACUUUUUUAUCUAUCUUUACUAGUUAACUGCUGUAUUUCAUUUAACUUAAGAAAAGGCAAACAACAAAAAUGCGAUAUAUAAUAUACAGUAUUUGUAAACAUUAAUCAGCAUAGAAACGUUGUCUUUCUAAUGUGUUCUUCCAGGAAGGCGUUGGAAAGCUGUUUGUGUAUGGUCUAUUUAUCUCGCAAUAUUUUCUUUAAUAUCAUUAGACAGUUUUCGUAAGCAUGCAUCGAAACUUUGUUUGAGAAUUGUCGUCCUCCAAACAGACCUUGGAAAUCCGUGUGUUCAGGGACUUUUAUCUCCCAAAAUUUUUAACAAAUUCGCAUUAGUGACAGUCUUCAUUUUAGGGUCUUUUUAUCUCCCAAAAUGUUUUACAAAUUCGCAUUACGGUCAGUCUUCAUUUUAUGGUCUUUUUAUCUCCCAAAAUGUUGUACAAAUUCGCAUUACGGACAGUCUUCAUUUUAUGGUAAUUGUAUCUCCUAAAAUGUUUUAAAAUUUUGCAUUACGGACGUCUUCAUUUUAAGGUCUUUUUAUCUCCCAAAAUGUUUUACAAAUUCGAAUUACGGACAGUCUACAUUUGAUGAUAUUUUUUUUAACCUUUAAAAUCCGUAUUCAGUGCUCAGAUAUAUCAUCCAUAAUAUAAAUAUCAGUAUGCAUAUCAUUAUACACAAAAGCUCUAAGAAAAAGUCAUCCCUAGCCUUGCAAAUCCGAUCCCUUGGUCCCCAAAUCAUUUUUAGCAUUGCGGAAAACAAUAGUUUAAUAUGAAGUUUAUUUUUGUUUAGUUUCAUUUAUUUAGGUUAUAAAUUUAUUUAUAAAUUAUUAUAAUUAGGAAACCUUUUUAUACAAUACAUCCUAGUUUUUUUUAUCAAACUUGUAUUCCGCUCAUGUGCUUCCACGAUGGACUUGUGAAUUCCUUAAAUAUUCGUGAACUGCAAACGACUUAAAAACCUGCGAUUGACUAAAUUUGGAUUUUUUGUUUGUAUGUAUUUUCAACUACUGAUAUUGUAUUGCUAUUGUUACAAUUUCCCACAUCAACAUUGGAAAUGUACACCUUAUGUUGUUAAAUUAUUUAUCACAUAUUUAUUUUAAUAUUAAUAUUAAUUUAUUAACAUAACGAACGUUUUAACGUCAAAGUCAUUAUUAUCUUGUUGGAAUACUUUGAUCUUUUUUCGAGGAAAAAUGAAUGCUCACUUGUUCGUUUCAGAAAAUCGCACAUAGUCGUACAAAUAACAUUCCAUGACAUUUCCGUCAGCAGAUAAGUAGCACUUGGCAAUCUACCAGGAAUCAGAGGUCUGGUCACAUAACGGUACAAUAUUGAAAUUUGACUAAAAUACAAUAUACUAGAAGUAUUGAUCUGAAUGUAGAAACACAAUUCUGGUUUCCCAUUAUCCGCCUUUCUAUUCAGUGUUGCUUUUUUCAUAAUAUAGUACAGUAUAAUACAAUAUAAUGAUAUUGAAUAACGCAUCAUGAUUUGUCCGCCUGCAGAUAAGUAACACUUUGCUAUCUCCCAAUAGUCUGUAAUGCGGUCACGUAUCAGUAAAUAACAUAAGAGGUCGUUUCUUGUUGUUGGUUUUGGUUUUGUUGUUGUUUUUGUUGUUUUGCUAAUGCUCCGUGUAUAUUUUUAUAUUUAUUUAAACAAAUGGAAAAAAUAAAACGCACCGAAGUAUUCAUGCCAUAAGAACCUUUCGGAUUCGUUUUUUCACAAUAAAACGGAUGUUUCUUGAUGUGUUUUUAUACAAAUCGAACCAAUAAAUCGAGUAAAUGUAUUUGUAUAUUAAUUGUUGGUUUCAUUAUUUGGGGAAAGAAUACUUUACUAUUGAACAUCGAUGUGAUUGUCACGUCUGAAUAUUCUCAUUCAUAUUCUAUGUUUCGUAGCGCAAUAUGCAAGUGGCGUUCGUAUUGUGUUUCUUACGAACGAGUCUAAAACAUGACGAAUCAAACCAUGAGGAAACAUUUUUACUCCAAAAUUCCUUGUUUGGAUUCAUGUACUAAGAGACCGUGCACUUAUGAUCAUUAUGGUGGUAUAUUUAUCCUUGCUAUGAUCAAGUGGAUGUAUGCCCAGGUCUGAUAUCUCCGGUACACAUGUUCAAGAAACAAUCUCGCUGCACACCUUCAGGCUUGUGAAAAUCGCUGCCUUUAUGAUUCUGUGAUCCCACUACUCUAUUAGCAAAUUAAUUUAUAAAAAAAUACAUCAUAUAUAUUAUUUUGUUAGUCUAAUUUUAUGAUUCCCAUUUUCAGUCAUCCUGUUUAAAGGAAAUAUGCAUUUUUUUAUGUACCGUAACAAUGCAAACAGUUUCAUGAAAAUAGGAAACUAUUGUCAAUUAAUACAGCAUAAUGCCCUGAAUGACCUUAAUUUACGGGGUUUUUUUUGUGUCCUAUAUAACAUAGAAUAAUAAAAUAUAAAAUAAUAUAAUAUAAUACAAUAUAAAUUAUAUUAUACAAUACAAUAUGGUAUGAUACUAUGUUAUAUAACCCACCAUGAUAUGUCCGCCUGCAGAUAAGUAGCAUUUUGCCAACUGCCAAGAGUCUGAGAUCUGGUCACAUUUCUUUAUAAAACAUUAAAUUGGUAGUUUGUUGUUGUAGUUCUUUGCCAACAUGUACACAUAAACAAGACACAAUCCCUCUUUACACUUUCGGAUUUAUUGUAAAAGGUGUUUUAAUAUAAUUAUGUGAUCCCACCCUAUAUGUAACUUAAUUUAAAAUAUAAUAUAAAAUAAUGUAAAAUAUUAUAAUGGUAUAUUGAAUAACGCAUCAUGAUAUGUCCGUCUGAAGUCAAGUAACACGUUGCUAUCUCCGAAUAUUCUAAUAUCUGGUGUUGUGUUGAGCAAUACUCCGUAUCUAUUUUCAUAUUGAUUGAAACUUUGCCAAAAUAAAACGUACUUAAUAUUCAUUGGCAAGAAUGUCGACGCUUCUGUUUCGUUUUCAACACUCAAAUCGUGUUUUUUUCUUAUUUGUUUUUAUACAAAUAGAACUUAAAAAUUAAAUGUAUUUCUGUAUUGAUGGUUUCAUUCUUUACCUUUCAUUUUCCCAUUAAUGUGAUUGCCAAUAUUUCUAUAUAUAACGAUUCCCAUUCUAGUUUUUUAGCGAUAUACUCGUAGACUUUUCUUCUGACAGAAAGCAUGUUGUUUUUAAUGAACGAAAAUGUAACAUAAUCAAACAAAUAUAACACAUUCUUAUGAAAUAAGACUGUGAGCUUUAACCCAAGAUUCGAUUCUUGCUGUAUUUUGUUUUGGUUGGUCAAUCGCUACUUAACAUUUACAUUAUUCCUCCAUGACGGAUUUGAAAAUGUAUACAAAGCAUACGCUUUUUUGAUAGGCUGUUUGCCCAAGCGAAUCGGUCCAGGACUAUUGGCACGUGUGUCUCGAGAUACAAGUUUUGUUUCUGUGAUUUCUAUGUCCUUUUAAAAAGUUUCUGAAUCUGUGUAUAAAGCAAUGAGAACUUAUUUAUUUUACGUACACUCUCGGCUUAUGUGUUUUUCCAAGAUGGCCCGUUAAAUCUGUGAAUUUGUAUUACAUUAUUUUUUCGACUAAUGUUGUUUAGCUAUAAGUAACAUAUUAGUCUAUAAAUUAUCUCUAGCAUUAAUGGAAACAGCUGUGUAAUAUUACGAGUUUGUCUCUUUUUUCCAUUUUUAAAGUUACAACACCAAUACUCUGCAAUAUACCAUAUUCUAGAAUGCAACACGUUAUUCGUGUUUGUUUUCUUCCACCACGGUGUUUUAUAUCUGUGUAUGCAGUUCUUCAUUGUUUUGGAAUUUCGCAUGAUUUGGCUAAAUCUAUGGUAGAGUGAAAAUGCAAAUACUAUGCGGAAAACAUUAAGAUUUUUUAAUGAGUUUUAGUAAUUUUUAUAUUAUCCGUUCAUUAUAGUUAAUGCGAGCACAAACUGCUCAAAGUAAAUAUAAAGAAGAAACCUCAGUGGUCAUUAAAGGCGUCCGGCGUCGAGCGUCGUGUUGUGUGCGAUGUCGAGCGUUAGCUCUGUAACACUCUGAAUGCUAUUUGUUUAUCCGAUUUUGAAAUAAAAACACUCGCUCAUAUUUUUUAUCUUGACGAUAUUUGAUAUCAGUUAGAAUCUUGGUCACGUAUGUACAAAAUAGGUUACCAAGUUAAAUUUGAUAAAGACCUUAUAACCACUCUAGGCGCCACAUGCAUGACUCUAAAUGGAUUGUUCUGAAUAUUUAUGUAGACAAUAUAUAAGCAAAUUAAGAAUUCCUGAAACUUGGGAAAUCUGCGGUAGACUGAAAUCGGCUUUAGUUUGGAGAGUGUUUUUUGUUUUCAGUGUUUUCAGUUUCCAGUGUUGACAUGGUGUUGUAAUUGUUACAAUUGUAUAUUUUACGCUUCACAAUUAUGGAACUACACCUUAAGUUUCUAAUAUAUAUAGGAAGAGAUUUAUUAAAAUAUUAUUCAUAAUAAAUAAACAUAAAAACAGCAUAAACGUUAAGUCAAAUGCAUUCAUGUUGCACUUCUUUGAAUCGUUUUGUUCGACAAAUAUAGGGUCACAUUUCCUAUUAAAACGUCAAAGCAUAACAUAUUACAUAACAUACCAUGACAUUACCGUCGGCAGAUAGGUAACAGAUAGGCAAUCUACCAGGAUUCGGUGUCUGGUCACAUUGCGUUGUAUCACAAGAAAUUGGUCUUCUUUAUUGUGUUGCAAUACCCGGUGUCUUUCUUUAAUAAUAUUUUAAUUUAACUAAUAUUCCAAAUACAACAAGUAUUAAUUUGAAUGUAGAUAGCAAGUUCUUGUUUCCAUCUAUCGAUGUUUGUUGUCAUUGUUGCUUGUUUUUCAUAAAGAAAAUUUUCAGUUAAAAUAUUAUUUAUUA
Long non-coding RNA from Dreissena polymorpha, 5617 nucleotides. RefSeq lists it as uncharacterized. The record is from RefSeq and is a predicted model, not a curated record. The transcript is spliced from 2 exons. Lineage: Eukaryota; Metazoa; Mollusca; Bivalvia; Myida; Dreissenidae.